AAAUAGAUACCCCGGGUAGUCCACGCCGUAAACGAUGAGUGCUAAGUGUUAGAGGGUUUCCGCCCUUUAGUGGCUGAAGUUAACGCAUUAAGCACUCCGCCUGGGGAGUACGGCCGCAAGGCUGAAACUCAAAGGAUUGACGGGGGCCCGCACAAGCGGUGGAGCAUGUGGUUUAAUUCGAAGCAACGCGAAGAACCUUACCAGGUCUUGACAUCCUCUGACAACCCUAGAGAUAGGGCUUCUCCUUCGGGAGCAGAGUGACAGGUGGUGCAUGGUUGUCGUCAGCUCGUGUCGUGAGAUGUUGGGUUAAGUCCCGCAACGAGCGCAACCCUUGAUCUUAGUUGCCAUCAUUAAGUUGGGCACUCUAAGGUGACUGCCGGUGACAAACCGGAGGAAGGUGGGGAUGACGUCAAAUCAUCAUGCCCCUUAUGACCUGGGCUACACACGUGCUACAAUGGACGGUACAAAGAGCUGCAAGACCGCGAGGUGGAGCUAAUCUCAUAAAACCGUUCUCAGUUCGGAUUGUAGGCUGCUAACG
RNAcentral lists this ribosomal RNA (538 nucleotides) under uncultured bacterium. RNAcentral describes it as "bacterial SSU rRNA". It matches the Rfam family "Bacterial small subunit ribosomal RNA", at positions 776 to 1313 of the family's 1533-position model. The record is from RNAcentral.